UACGUAGGGUCCGAGCGUUGUCCGGAAUUACUGGGCGUAAAGCGCGUGUAGGCGGAUCGGCAAGUCUGCUGUGAAAGCUCCUGGCUUAACCGGGAGUGGUCGGUGGAAACUGCGGGUCUGGAGGACGGUAGAGGCUGGUGGAAUUCCCGGUGUAGUGGUGAAAUGCGUAGAGAUCGGGAGGAACACCUGUGGCGAAGGCGGCCAGCUGGGCCGGACCUGACGCUGAGACGCGAAGGCGUGGGGAGCGAACGGG
This 253-nucleotide ribosomal RNA is filed under the name uncultured bacterium. RNAcentral describes it as "partial 16S ribosomal RNA". It matches the Rfam family "Bacterial small subunit ribosomal RNA", at positions 524 to 776 of the family's 1533-position model. The record is from RNAcentral.